GAUGAACGCUAGCUACAGGCUUAACACAUGCAAGUCGAGGGGAAACGACAUCGAAAGCUUGCUUUUGAUGGGCGUCGACCGGCGCACGGGUGAGUAACGCGUAUCCAACCUGCCCACCACUUGGGGAUAACCUUGCGAAAGUAAGACUAAUACCCGAUGAUAUCCCUAGAAGACAUCUGAAAGGGAUUAAAGAUUUAUCGGUGAUGGAUGGGGAUGCGUCUGAUUAGCUUGUUGGCGGGGUAACGGCCCACCAAGGCGACGAUCAGUAGGGGUUCUGAGAGGAAGGUCCCCCACAUUGGAACUGAGACACGGUCCAAACUCCUACGGGAGGCAGCAGUGAGGAAUAUUGGUCAAUGGGCGAGAGCCUGAACCAGCCAAGUAGCGUGCAGGACGACGGCCCUAUGGGUUGUAAACUGCUUUUAUAAGGGAAUAAAGUGAGUCUCGUGAGACUUUUUGCAUGUACCUUAUGAAUAAGGACCGGCUAAUUCCGUG
This 492-nucleotide ribosomal RNA is filed under the name uncultured bacterium. RNAcentral describes it as "bacterial SSU rRNA". It matches the Rfam family "Bacterial small subunit ribosomal RNA", at positions 28 to 507 of the family's 1533-position model. The record is from RNAcentral.